This 232-nucleotide ribosomal RNA is filed under the name uncultured bacterium. RNAcentral describes it as "partial 16S ribosomal RNA". It matches the Rfam family "Bacterial small subunit ribosomal RNA", at positions 102 to 334 of the family's 1533-position model. The record is from RNAcentral.
ACGGGUGAGUAACGCGUGGGUAACCUGCCUCAUACAGGGGGAUAACAGUUGGAAGCGACUGCUAAUACCGCAUAAGCGCACAGUACCGCAUGGUACAGUGUGAAAAACUCCGGUGGUAUGAGAUGGACCCGCGUCUGAUUAGCUAGUUGGUGGGGUAACGGCCUACCAAGGCGACGAUCAGUAGCCGACCUGAGAGGGUGACCGGCCACAUUGGGACUGAGACACGGCCCAA